RNAcentral lists this ribosomal RNA (790 nucleotides) under uncultured Eubacteriales bacterium. RNAcentral describes it as "bacterial SSU rRNA". It matches the Rfam family "Bacterial small subunit ribosomal RNA", at positions 77 to 893 of the family's 1533-position model. Lineage: Bacteria; Bacillati; Bacillota; Clostridia; Eubacteriales. The record is from RNAcentral.
UGAAGAUGAAAUGGAUUAGCGGCGGACGGGUGAGUAACACGUGAGUAACCUGCCUUAGACAUUGGGAUAGCCUCGGGAAACCGGGAUUAAUACCAAAUGAAAUCACAUAUGCACAUGCAUAAAUGAUCAAAGCUCCGGCGGUCUAAGAUGGACUCGCGUCCCAUUAGCUAGUUGGUGAGGUAACGGCCCACCAAGGCGACGAUGGGUAGCCGGCCUGAGAGGGUGAACGGCCACAUUGGAACUGAGAAACGGUCCAAACUCCUACGGGAGGCAGCAGUGGGGAAUAUUGCACAAUGGAGGGAACUCUGAUGCAGCGACGCCGCGUGAACGAAGAAGGCUUUCGAGUCGUAAAGUUCUUUUAUAUGGGAAGAUAAUGACGGUACCAUAAGAAAAAGCCCCGGCUAACUACGUGCCAGCAGCCGCGGUAAUACGUAGGGGGCUAGCGUUGUCCGGAAUCACUGGGCGUAAAGGGUUCGCAGGCGGAAAUGCAAGUCAGGUGUAAAAGGCAGUAGCUUAACUACUGUAAGCAUUUGAAACUGCAUAUCUUGAGAAGAGUAGAGGUAAGUGGAAUUUUUAGUGUAGCGGUGAAAUGCGUAGAUAUUAAAAAGAAUACCGGUGGCGAAGGCGACUUACUGGGCUCAUUCUGACGCUGAGGAGCGAAAGCGUGGGUAGCAAACAGGAUUAGAUACCCUGGUAGUCCACGCUGUAAACGAUGAGUGCUAGGUAUCGGAAUAAUUCGGUGCCGCAGUUAACACAUUAAGCACUCCGCCUGGGGAGUACGUGCGCAAGC